Molecule: ribosomal RNA, 371 nt
Filed under: uncultured organism
Description: partial 16S ribosomal RNA
Rfam family: Bacterial small subunit ribosomal RNA
Source: RNAcentral
GGAGGGUGCAAGCGUUGUUCGGAAUUAUUGGGCGUAAAGCGCGUGUAGGCGGCUUGGUAAGUCAGGUGUGAAAGCCCUUAGCUCAACUAAGGAAUGUCAUCUGAAACUGCCAGGCUUGAGUACGGGAGAGGAGAGUGGAAUUCCCGGUGUAGAGGUGAAAUUCGUAGAUAUCGGGAGGAACACCCGUGGCAAAGGCGACUCUCUGGACCGAUACUGACGCUGAGACGCGAAAGCGUGGGGAGCAAACAGGAUUAGAUACCCUGGUAGUCCACGCCGUAAACGAUGGGCACUAGGUGUAGAGGGUAUUGACCCCUUCUGUGCCGCAGCUAACGCAUUAAGUGCCCCCGCCUGGAAGUACGGCCGCAAGGCUA